GGCUUUUUCCAUGUGGCCCUGUGGGACGUGGCAUGCCCUCUGCUCUUGGGAACUUCUGGAAACUGAGCCAGAUUGACAUGUUGGAGCUGAGAUUUCCAUGUCUGGAGAGGGAAAAAUCUUGACUUGUGUCAUUAUGGGGAAAAAGGCAAGGCUCAGACUGUGGACUUUGCAACCUUUCAGGCGCUCCUCAGGUGAUUCUAAUGUUCAGCCAGCGUUGAGAACCACAUGCAGCAGGUGAGAAAACUGAAGUCCAAGAUGGUGGAUUGAAUUGUCCAAGGGUUCAGAGAACGACAGAACUAGAAUUCACAUUUUUGGGCUCUUGGGGCCCUGUGAUUUAAUCUAAGAACUUUGCAUAUGAUGACCUGACUUUACCUAUCUAUUUAUCAACUAUCUAUUUAUUUAUCUGUGCUUCAUGCUCACCUCACAUUGGAAAUGACUUGCGGGCGCUCCAGAGGGAAAGGUCACAGGUGACUGGCGAAGCGAGGGGCCUCAGGCUGGCUUGUGCCGAGAGAUGCAUGGGAUGCUGGUGACGCGCCUGCUCUGCUCACGGGCCACAGUCUGAGCUGAGCCCCCGCAGCUGUCUGUGUCAGGAAGGUGCUGAAAGAGGGUGCAGAGACCACUGUGGAGCCAGCUGGACCCCAGGGGCAGGGCAGGGGCUUGGGGCAGCUCCCGCUGGCUCUUUGAGCUGGGGAGAGGGCUGUUGGCCCGUUCCUGUGGCCUCCAGCAGACUUGUGAAGAGCUGCUACCAAAAUGGAGGAGUUUUGAAAACAGCCCAGGAGGCGGGAGAGGAAACAUUUAGAGAAGAAAUAAACAAAAGAGGCGACAGACUUCUCACUCUAGCAAAAGGGGCUUUGGCUUACCUGUGAAACUUCACUCCUCCUCUUCCCCUGGCCUAAAAUUUAUCAAGCUAGUCCACCGCUCCCAGAGAUGACUCAGUUUUAAAGCCCUAGUUCUGAGGACCAUAUUGGUCCUGCUGUGUCUUAGCACCCAGUGUUGAUGAUACGCCGGCUUAAAUUCCAGCCGAAAGGUUAAGACAAAGCCAACUGACAGACUCGAGUGUCUGGCGUUAGUCAUAUCGUUACUAUGUUUGUUAACAGCUAACGUUUAUCAAGGGCUUACCAUGCCAGGCAUCACGCUAAACCCUUAACUGGCACCGUCUCCUUGAAUCUUUGUCCUCACCACAGCUCUUUGAGAUGGCGACUAUUUAAUGGGCCCAUUUUAUAGAUGGGGCAACCAACAUAAAGAGAAGUCCAAAAUCACACAGUUGGUGGAUAAAAGAACAGGACUUUGAACCUAGUUCUCACUUGGAAGGAAAAAAAAAAAAAACUAGUGGGAAGGAAAGUAGUAAAGGAAAGAAAUUGAGUCUGCUUCUAAGACUGUGAGCUGCCUGAGCACCUGAGUAUGUCUGGCCUGGAGAAAGCCCCAGAAAGCAAACAGACAGGGUGAGCACAUGUUUUUUAUGGAAGCUUCCUUGAAGAUGUGUUUCUGUCUAAAUACCUGCUUUGCAGCCAGCUGUCCAAGAGGACAUCACAAGAACAGGACAUUCUUGGGAUACUGGGACACUGUAAGGUCUAUUAGGAUGCUGGGCCUCCCCCAGGAGCCAUAUCACAUUUUUCACUCUGCCAGGGGGAGGGAUGAAGUAGUUUUCCCAUUAAUUAUGCUGGAAGUUCUUAUAUUUGUUGUAGUGGGGACUUCUCUUUCUUUGGAGAUGCAGUUUGAGAGUUAACGGUUGAGAGCAGAGGUUUUGUAGAUUUAAAUCCUUGUUCAGGGACUUUCCUAGUGGUCCAUUGGCUAAGACUCUGCGCUUCCGAUGGAGGGGGCCCAGGUUCGAUCCCUGGUCAGGGAAUUGGGUCCCACAUGCUGCAACUAAGGAUUCUGCAUGCAGCAACAAAGAUCAAAGAUCCCAGGUGCUGCAGCAAAUACCCGGCACAGCCAAAUAAGUAAAUAAAAUAAAUAUUUAAAAAAAUGCAUGUUCAGCAGUUUGUUAUUUUGUGACUUUGGACAAUCUGCUUACUGCUGUGGGUUUAAGUUUCCUCAUCUGUAAAAUGGUGAUAGUACUAACACCUGCUUCACAGGAUUAUGAAGAAAAUAUGAGAUAAUGCAGUGACCUUGAUGUCUGGCAUGUUGUAAAUGUUCAAUAAAGGGUAAUUAUUAUGGUUAUUUAAUGGUUUUAAGGAGAUGGUUUGGUCUAGGCAGAUGGGGGUUAAAGUUUCUGGUUUCUCAGAAGGCCACCAGCAUCCUCUAUGCUCAACUGAGAAUGAGAAUAUUGUCGAAAUGGCAGGGUCAAGGAAAAGUCAUGUUUCCCAUUGAGUAUUUUGAGUAUUUCCAGUGAAUUAAUAAGCUGCCGAGAAGGAUAUUUGAAAGUUGUGCUGCAGACCACAGCAGCUACCGAAGAGAAGGUUUUCUUUUCCAAAUCUGGAUGUCUACAACCCAUAGAAAAAAGAUAUUUUGGGCAUCCCAUGUUUAUUUCUACCCAUGUCCUUUUUAGGCAGAGGGCUUCCAGAACCAAGAACUGUGCUAAGUACAAGUGAAAGGGGAAAAAAAGUUAUUUUUCAUUUCUAGGCAAUAUGUACAUAGUUUAUCAACAUGAUCACAAUCUUUAGAGAGCUAAACUUAAAUGGAAAAUGCGGAAACAAUUUAAGUGGUACGUUUUUUGCCAUACUUUAUAUUCUUGUCCCGCCCAUUUCUUUUAGAGUGUAAACCAAUCUAAAAUGCCCUACAGAACAUUUAAAUUUUACAGAGCCGGUGGAACACUGCCCAUUUUUGCAAAUGGAAGGGUCAGAGGCAGUUAUUUGCUAAUACAGCAAGCCCCAGGCAGGCAGAUUUGCGUCCCAGCCAUAUUUGUGUUUCCCAAGAGGCUUUGCAUGAAGUGAGUGCUUAAUAAAUACUGGUUGAAUAAAUAAGUUUUGUUUUCUAGCUUUCUUUCCCCUCUGCAGUUCAAAUUGUUGGUUUAAAAAUUUUUCCUCAUCACAAUUUCCGAAAGUUUAAACACUAAGGUUUGUGUUACAUAUGUAGGUAUGUAAAAUAACAAUUAAUUACAAAACUCUGUUUUAUGCUGUAGCUAGUGAAAAAUGGUGGCCUCUCUUUUACGACUUCUAU
Cervus elaphus (red deer) is the source of this 3099-nucleotide RNA transcript. RefSeq lists it as uncharacterized. The transcript has 4 exons. The record is from RefSeq and is a predicted model, not a curated record. Lineage: Eukaryota; Metazoa; Chordata; Mammalia; Artiodactyla; Cervidae.